This 433-nucleotide ribosomal RNA is filed under the name uncultured bacterium. RNAcentral describes it as "partial 16S ribosomal RNA". It matches the Rfam family "Bacterial small subunit ribosomal RNA", at positions 29 to 507 of the family's 1533-position model. The record is from RNAcentral.
AACGAACGCUGGCGGCAUGCCUAACACAUGCAAGUCGAACGAGACCUUCGGGUCUAGUGGCGCACGGGUGCGUAACGCGUGGGAACCUGCCCUUAGGUUCGGAAUAACUCCCCGAAAGGGGUGCUAAUACCGGAUAAUGUCUUCGGACCAAAGAUUUAUCGCCUUUGGAUGGGCCCGCGUUGGAUUAGCUAGUUGGUAGGGUAAAAGCCUACCAAGGCGACGAUCCAUAGCUGGUCUGAGAGGAUGAUCAGCCACACUGGGACUGAGACACGGCCCAGACUCCUACGGGAGGCAGCAGUGGGGAAUAUAGGACAAUGGGCGAAAGCCUGAUGCAGCAAUGCCGCGUGAGUGAUGAAGGCCUUAGGGUUGUAAAGCUCUUUUACCCGGGAUGAUAAUGACAGUACCGGGAGAAUAAGCUCCGGCUAACUCCGUG